Molecule: long non-coding RNA, 4579 nt
Organism: Nymphaea colorata (pocket water lily)
Lineage: Eukaryota; Viridiplantae; Streptophyta; Magnoliopsida; Nymphaeales; Nymphaeaceae
Exons: 8
Source: RefSeq, a predicted model, not a curated record
UCUCUCUCUCUCUCUCUCUCUCUCACUCCGCGAACAGCUUUCGAAAGAUGAUGAGGUGCAGUUUUCCCCUCGCGGUCUUGUUUUCCCGCUCUUUCUUGUUUUGGAAGAAAGAAUCCCCCCCUCCGAUGGUUCUCAGAUGACACGGCAUGCCAGGGUCGCCGGAUAUGCCGGAGUGUCCUCCUCGUCUGAUCAAUGAUCAGAACACAGCAGGGUUAUUGAUAUUGGUGUUGGGAUUAGCGAUGGCAACACAAAAGAAGAACAAGAGAUUCACGUGGUUCGGUGACCAGCACCUAUGCCCAUGGCUCCUGUGUGUCAAUACAGACAAAAUUGAUGCAUGAUGAGGAACUGCAUGACUUGGAGGAUGGGGUUCAAAAUGUCAUAGAAAGUGAAAAAAAUUUUAAUAAGCCAGUAAUUAGGUGAAAAAUAUUGUUAAGCAGACAAAGCCAGUGGUUGCUGUAGACCCUUGUUCAAAAGCUGAGUUGAUUAAAAGGGCAGAGAUAUGGAGCCACACAAUAGCUGAUAUUACUCUCCUGGCUUUUGUAACAAGCUUUCCUCGGAUGUCUUUUGCUAUAAUAGAUGAUUUCUAGAACCUUGGUUGCAAAUAUGCCGGAGGUGGCAUCCCUCUUCUUGUUUCCUGAACCAGUUUAUUAGGUUUAGGUCUUGGAACACUUGUUGGUUCUGCAGCAUUUGAUCUCUUCCCCAUUCACAGUGAAGAGGAUAUCUGAUACAGGUGUAUGGCUGGUAGAACUGUUCUGCUCAUUUUGGGCAUAUGUGUGGCUCUAUAAUUUUGGAGAUCAGAUCUGUUUCCUUCUGGAAGCAUACAGAUGCUGUAUCAUCGCAUGCCUUUUGGGCGUAGGGUGCUGUCAAAUCAAUGAUAUUCCUUUCAAGGCUAUCCUGUACCAUUCGCAGGCAUUCUCAAAUUGCACAGUUAUCUCAGUAUUGCUUGAUUCAACAAUGUGGCAGAGACUUAUUUGGCCUGAAUGUGAAGUCCUCUAGUUCAACUCAGUCUUAAAUGGAAGUUUUGAAUGGGGUGUGCUCUUGAUGAAAGUGCAAAAAUGAAGCCAAUAAGAGACAUGAUCUAGCUCUAAUCAUGUUUCAGAACAUAUGACAAGGGAGCACAAUUGAGUUUCUUUUGUUGCAGUAUCUGGGACUGUGUAUGCCUUGUGCCUCAUCCUCCUUCGUUUGCUGGGAUUGUGGUGAAAUAACAAUUUGCAAGGGGAAGUCUACAUUAUAAUAUUAUAUGCUACGUGCUAAAUCCGAAACAUGUUGGGCUGCUGAUUGAUUGAAGACUGUUACCAUAUGGUCUCCUAGUCUUGUUCAUCAUGCUGUAUUUGAAGCUCCCAGGUGAGCUUUGUGUGCUUCCUGGGGCAUGUCUUUAGACAAAUUGAGUUGUAUUAGAAUGAUGUAAAGUGCAUAACAUAACCCGUAUCAGUUGGGCCAGUAUGUAUGUUGUAUUGUAAUGUUAUUUUUUUGAGUUAAAAAUUAAAAAUACAUAAUAUCAAAUAGGAAAAAUUAGAAAAAAUUCCAGAAAAUUGUGUUCUCCAUAAAGAACAUGUCACUCAUAAAUAUAGUUUUAUAGGAAUGACCGUUCAGUGAUUUAACAUAACACAAUCAUAAUGUCACAAAAUAAAACACUAAAAAAUAAGUUCAAAGUCUUAGAAAUUACAAGAUGAGAUUGUUCAACUCAUGAAAAUGAUCAAAUAUCAUAUGCUCAGAAUUCAUUAUCUAAUUAUAAUUCUUGUGAAUGAUUUUCAACCAAUCAUUUUCCUCAUCCUAGAGCACCAUUUUCAUGUGGAAUUGUCUGAAGCCAUCUAUCCCCAAAACAAUGGAAAUCUAUGGCAAUCUUCACAAAACAAUAAAAAUUUAUAGUCGUCUUCACAAAACAAUAGAAAUCUAUGGUAAGAGAUUUUUAUACAUUUCAGGAAAGAAUUCAGCAACCUCUUCAAUUACAAUUUGAUGUCUCAUGUGCAAAUCUUUCUUCAAAUUGAUGUUUCCUCUCUUAAAUUGAUAAGAGAUCCACUCAACUCAACUCCUACGAGUGUUUAGAAGUGAGGAGAGAGGGCUUUUUAGAACCCAAAUAAGAAGGGGGUUUCAACUUUCAAUUACCCCGUAUCGGAAAAAGGGGUGUAUUUUAUCGAUUUUCCAAUAGUUACAAUAUGUAUUGUAAGAUAUGUACAACUUUAGUAUUAGUACUACAUGCAUGUGGUUUAUGUAUUAUAUUAUAUUGCAGGAGUUCAUUUCACCAUCUCAUUAGUUCCUCUGGUCAGCUUCUGCAGCCAUUGCAGCUGCUAGGAUGUAGGUCAGAAGUUAAAUAAACUUGCCUGCAGCAAUUGCAGGUGGUAGGAUGCAAGUCAAAAGUUCAACUUUGUUAAUGGUUACUGCACUUUGUUAGAUGCAAAGAUUGGAACUUACAGUGACAAUUUUCUGUUCUUUCCAACUUGAAAAUUCUCAAAACUUUCAUUGCAUGGUUGUUCAUUGUACUAGUGGUUCUAAUUUUUUGUUUUUGUAAUUAAUAAUUUAUUGAAUGUAUUUUUUAUUGAACACUAUCUUUUUUUGCUCCAUUGCUAGUUAAGGAGGUGAUUGCUAGGUUGUGACAUGUAGAUGUUUUGAUGUAUAAUUUUUUUUUAUUGUUAGCACUGACAUUUUGAAUUUUGUGGACUGUUAUGGGGAAGAAAUGCCCACAUGUGGCUCCCCCAGUGCAUAUGAAAGAUUUAAAUUUAAAUUUGGUCUAUUCAAAUGCAGCCCUAAAAGAGGCAUCUCCAUCAAAAAAUAUAUUUUGUGAUUUUUAAAUUACCUUUCAGUUUACUGAUGUUUAAUGUUUAAGAAUUAGUAAUGAAAAGAAGAAAAAACAGAACUAAUUUGAUUUUAUCAUAUUUAAUGGAAGUCAUAAGCUAAUUUCUUGCAGAAAUAAAUUUGAAAAAAGAAAAUAAUAAGAGCAAGAAAUCUAAGCUAGCAUUGCAUUGCAAUUAAAGCUAUUCAAUGUUGGUUGUCUCAUUAUUUUCUAUUAUUAUCAAGGAUCAACCUAGGAAGCACAUACAAGAGAGAGUUGGGAGGUAGAAGUUUUGGAUCAUGGAGGCAAUGUGAUUCAAGUACUGUUAAGUUUAAAAUUUAGAAGUAUUUGUAACUACAUGUCUUCGCUUCUUAAGAAGGAACAGAUUGGAGCUAGGUUCUUGUGCGCUGAAAACAAGUUAAACUCUCUUAGAGGACAAGUUGAACUUAAAAGGCCAUAUUUUUGUUUGUAGCUCACCACUUGUUAUAAUAUAAUCCCUUCAAAAUUAAAGAUAUCACCUUUCUAUUUUAUAAUGUACGGUUCAUUUUUUUUUUCCAAAAUUGCCUUAAUUUUGACAUGCUUGCAAACUGUGAAAAUCGUGGGUUGACUGUUCCAUCUGGAGUCAAGAUGCAAUGGAAAUGGCCAAACGAAAUUGGCACAGGGGAUCAGGUAGUUCGUGCUUCUCCUCAUAGAGAUAGGCUGCAACCGAAUGAUUAGUCAUUAGUGGCCUGAGUGAUCAGUGGCCUUCAGUUCGUGUUAUGGUUGAUGCUGCUUCCUAACCCUUUGUCUGAUUAGGGAUUUUGGAAAUCAAGGACUGAACUAAUAUAUCUGACCUAAUAAAUCUUCUAAGAAAGUUGAUGGACAUGGACUAUUAUAUAUUCAUGUCAGUCACAAAAACAUGUUGAAAUUGUAAAAAACGCCUUUUUUUGAAUGUUUGCAUGAGAAAAACAUGAAAAAUGCAUUUGUUUGAGUUUUUUCUUUUCUUUUUAAUUUUUUCACGUUUUUCUUAAUGACAAACUGUUUUUUUUUUCAUUUUCUAAUUUUUAUUUGAUGCAAAUCUACUUAUUUUUUUAUGCUUGUAUUAUUAGUUUCUCACCUAUUUUAUUUUUCUCCCAUUUUUAGCUUUUUGAAUUUUUAAAAAUUGAAUGUAUUUUUUCCCUUUUUUCAAGGUCGCCUCUUCAUAACCGAGAAAAUCCUCGCCCUUUAAAACACGCGAAAGUUUUUGUGACUAUGGACUUCAUGUCAUACAGCCUGUAACUGUACAUACAUGGUCUAAGCUGUACCAUCAUCUAUUUCUUUUGUCUGACCCAACAUGAGUAUGACUGCUUGAUGUAUUGGAUUCGUAAAUUUGUUUGGCUAGUCUACUCUUCCUUCCAACGCGUAAGAUAUGAAUUCGGAAAUAUGAGAGAAUGACAGAAAAGGUUGGCAAAUAGUGACAUGAGAGUAGAUACUGCAUGGUUACAUUAGCAACCACAUUAGCUCUUAUAAGAAAUUGAUAAGUCAACUUCAGUCAAAAAGUGCAAGUAUGGAUGUCAGUUCCAGUAUCUUCAACAUAUAUGUAUAUAGCUACUGCUUGCCUCUCGCCAAUGACCACAGGCCUGCUGUCUUCUAGAGUCUGUUCUUGUGUACCUAAAUUGCUUUUUAGAUACUCUCGACUGGAUCUCCUCUCUUGUACCUUGCAGCCCGACCUUUUGGAGUGUCGGUGCUAAUCUGUUGAACUUAUAACAUGAUGACCCCCUUUUCUAGAAACAAUCAGGAAUAGGUCUGAGUGUUCAUUCCAUUUAAUUAAUCUAUGUGACAUGGGUAUGG